Molecule: ribosomal RNA, 230 nt
Filed under: uncultured bacterium
Lineage: Bacteria
Description: partial 16S ribosomal RNA
Rfam family: Bacterial small subunit ribosomal RNA
Source: RNAcentral
GACGUGCGCAGGCGGUAUUGUAAGACAGAUGUGAAAUACCCCGGGCUCAACCUGGGAACUGCAUUUGUGACUGCAUGGCUAGAGUACGGUAGAGGGGGGAUGGAAUUCCGCGUGUAGCAGUGAAAUGCGUAGAUAUGCGGAGGAACACCGAUGGCGAAGGCAAUCCCCUGGACCUGUACUGACGCUCAUGCACGAAAGCGUGUGGAGCAAACAGGAUUAGAUACCCGUGU